AGCAUAUGAAGGUCAGGCUGAAGACCUUACCCGAUUAGCUGAGAGGUGGUGCAUGGCCGUCGUCAGUUCGUACUGUGAAGCAUCCUGUUAAGUCAGGCAACGAGCGAGACCCACGUCCACAGUUGCCAGCAUACCCUCCGGGGUGAUGGGUACACUGUGGAGACCGCCGCUGCUAAAGCGGAGGAAGGAGUGGGCAACGGUAGGUCAGUAUGCCCCGAAUCUCCCGGGCUACACGCGGGCUACAAUGGUUGGUACAAUGGGCAUCUACCCCGAAAGGGGAAGGAAAUCUCUUAAAGCCAAUCGUAGUUCGGAUUGAGGGCUGCAACUCGCCCUCAUGAAGCUGGAAUCCGUAGUAAUCGCGUUUCAACAGAACGCGGUGAAUACGUCCCUGCUCCUU
Molecule: ribosomal RNA, 397 nt
Filed under: uncultured Methanosaeta sp.
Lineage: Archaea; Methanobacteriati; Methanobacteriota; Methanomicrobia; Methanotrichales; Methanotrichaceae
Description: bacterial SSU rRNA
Rfam family: Archaeal small subunit ribosomal RNA
Source: RNAcentral